Long non-coding RNA from Bos taurus (domestic cattle), 983 nucleotides. Lineage: Eukaryota; Metazoa; Chordata; Mammalia; Artiodactyla; Bovidae. The record is from Ensembl.
GUUGUGAGGGGUUUUCAUAGUAUGUGCCCAGUCAUGUCUGAUUCUUUGCAACCCCAUGGACUGUGGCCUUCCAGGCUCCUCUGUCCAUGGAUUUUCCUGGCAAGAAUACUGGAGUAGGUUGCCAUUUUCUCCUCCAGGGGAUCUUCCUGACCCGGGGAUUGAACCUGAGUGUCCUGCAUUGACAAGCAGAUUCUUUACCACAAGUGCCACCUGAGAAGCCCCUUUGAUAGGCUCGGAAGGAAGAAAUCACACAUGUGGGGUUAUCUUGGAGUUGUGAGGGUGGAAGAGGUUGUAUAUUUGAUGCACUCAUUUAAAACACUCAGUAAGAAACUCUCAGGCCACUUAACAAGAGUAUUUGGAUGCUGGGAAAAUGCCUGGAUUCCAGCCUCCAUCUCUGGGUUGGCCAGGAGAAGCCCUGGGCCCACACAGCUCUCCCUUACUCACGCCAGGAGGGACUAACACAGAUGAAGGUAUUUCACACAACAAAUACAACUCAACCAUGAGGAAGACGGAGCUGCCCCUCCAUUCAACCACACGAGCCAGCGUCACAAGCAAACUGUUGGCUUGCAGGCGCCUCCCUCCACGGGAUUUUCCUGGCAAGAACACUGGAGUGGUCUGCCAUGCAAUCCUCCCGCGGAUCUUCCAGGAACUGGACCUGUGUCUCCUGCAUGGCAGGUUCCUUGUCAGCUGGGACCUUAGUUCUCCAGGGAUUGAAACUGAAUCCCCUGCUGUGGAAGGCAGAAUCUCAACCGCUGGACUGCUGGGGAGGCCCAUGAAUUGCUUGUCCUGAUGCUCCUUGUGUGAUAACCUUUUUGGACUUCAGGAUGUGUAAGAGGCCUUUGGUGUGACCCACAAGAGGGAAACAGUCAGGAGGUGGAGUGGAAGAUGGUCAUGGAGAAGGUGCAGGAGAGACCUGAGUCACUUGUUCCUGGGCAGUCCUUCCUUUCGAGUAAUUGGAAGCUUCGUGAUGAGCAGGGUGAGAG